This is a non-coding RNA of Elaeis guineensis (African oil palm), 2442 nucleotides long. Lineage: Eukaryota; Viridiplantae; Streptophyta; Magnoliopsida; Arecales; Arecaceae. The record is from RefSeq and is a predicted model, not a curated record.
UGCUUUCCUAUGAUCAUUCGUCAAAAAUCUGCGGAGGCGAGGGAAAUUGCCUGCAACUCUCAACGCCUCUCUCUUUGUCCACUCAAAUUUGGAGUUUUAGGUUUCACACGCCUCCCAAACAAUACUUAUUCUCCCUUUCCUCUUAUCUACGGAAGCUUCCAUUCCUUCUUGCGCUCCGCCUCAGCUCUCCUGCAGUCGAUGCUCCGGUCGGGCGGCGGUGUCCUGAUCAAGGCUUCCCGGAGAGAGGAAGAGCCCCCUCUUAAAUGUUAUUCGCCUUCCUCCCUUCUCGCCCUCUCCUUGUCUCGCCUCCUUUCAUGUCUUCCCUCGGCCUCCCCUUCUUUGCUCGCCUACUCGGGACCGGGUUCCAAACUCUAAUUUCCUCUCCUGAUCCUUCUUCCCCCAUACGGCGGCUCCCUUCCUGCCCCGAUCGCCAGAAAAAGAGGCUUUUUUUGACGUUUUUCCAUUGUUUAGUGCUGCUUCUUUGGCUCCGCGGUCAAAAUGAGUGAUCACAAGCAGGUCCUAAUAUUUGGGUCAUUCACUGAAGAUGAGACUAGGUAUUUUCAAAGACAGUUAGUUGAAAGCAAUCUUCAUCCUUUGGAAAAGGCAGGGUUGCAGUCCAAAUCUUUAGACUUUGCUUCUCCAAAUUCAUCGAAAUGUUUGAUUGCUGAACCCAAACAAACUGAUUCAUUUGGAAGAUCAAAGGAUAUCCAAGGUUCAAAGCUGGUUGCAAAUGACAAAAAGACCAAGAAUGAGAAGGCCAAAACAAGUAAUAAUUUCAAAAAAGAUAUGGAGGCCCAAGCUAAUGGAGGCUGUAACCCUUGUUUUCCGGGCACUGAUGGGAUUAUUGAAAAUGGGAGCAAUACUUUAGAUUUUGUUUCUUUGCAAAUAUCUGAAAAUGAAUCUGCUGAUACAGAGUCAUUAUCAAGCCCAAACUUGCACAACCAUGGAAUUCAAACAUCUAAAUUCAAGAUCAUGUUAGUUGAUUCCUCAGCAGUCGUGAAUCCUGUGGUGGAUGUCCCAGAAACAUCUAGUGAUAAAGCACCAUUGGCUAAAAGAUUUCUUCCACGAGGCUUAAUAAAUUCAGGAAAUCUGUGCUUCCUUAAUGCAACACUGCAGGCACUCCUCUCCUGUUCACCAUUUGUUCAGCUUUUGCAAAAUCAAAGAAAUCGAGACAUUCCUAAGAUUGGCUAUCCAACAUUAAUUGCAUUUGUGGAGUUUAUCUCUGAAUUUGGCAUGCCUGAUGAUUCAUGCCUGAAGAAUAAUGAGCGAGGAGCUCUUGAAACCAAAGAGUCCUUCAAUCCCAUUAUGUUUGAUCCUGUUCUGAAAAGGUUCACCCCAGACAUGCCAACUGGAAUAUCAGGCAGGCCAAGGCAAGAAGAUGCCCAGGAGUUUUUAUCUUUUGUUAUGGAUCAAAUGCAUAAUGAACUGUUGAACCUUGAUGGCCAAUUUUCUAGUUCCAAUGGAGCAAAAUUGCCUCUGAUUUCUUCUUCUGAAGAUGAUGGUUGGGAAACUGUUGGGCCAAAAAACAAGUCUGCAGUGACCAGAACUCAGAACUUUGUGCCAUCCGAGUUAAGUGCAAUUUUUGGGGGUCAGUUAAGAAGUGUUGUGAAGGCCACAGGCAACAAGGCUUCAGCUACUGUUCAGCCCUUCCUUUUGCUCCAUCUUGAUAUUUUUCCUGAUGCUGUUCAUACUAUUAAAGAUGCACUUCAUUUGUUUUCUGCUCCAGAAACUCUUGAAGGAUACAGAACUUCAUCUGGCAAGAGUUGGGGAAACCAAGAAUUUGUCUACCAUCCUCUGUUGGUCCAUACCAUAUUGUUUGUUCUCUGCCAGACAGGUACUGGAAUGGUACAAAGGUACAUGACUGGUAGAGGGUACAACGUUGUACCUUGCCAGCCCAUGAAUGGCUGGGGUGGUUAGUGCUAGCAAGUCUAUAAAAAUACAGACACUGUCCAAGAUAAUGAUACUUCAUCUGAUGAGGUUUAGCUAUGGAAGCAAAGGAAGCACUAAAUUGAACAAGCCUGUCGGCUUUCCCCUUGAGCUUGUACUUGGCCGUGAGUUACUUGUCUCUCCAUCAUCAAAGGGUCGGAAAUAUGAGCUCGAGGCCACCAUCACUCACCAUGGUAGAGAGCCCUCUAGAGGUCAUUAUACCGCUGAUGCGAGGUAUUCUGAUGGUCGCUGGCUUCGGUUUGAUGAUGCGUCUGUCACAGCUGUGGAUAUAAAUGAAGUCCUGCAUGACCAGGCAUAUGUUCUCUUUUACAGACAAAUAUAGGUGGUCAUGUAUUCUUCCAGAGUCAUGUUGGUGUCUAUCCUGACCUGUUCUUCAGCUGAUAUAUAUAUAUAUAUAUAUAUAUAUAUAUAUAUAUAUAUAUGUUAAUACAAUAGCUGAGUUUGUGGGCAGGAAGGAACAAUGUUCAUAAUGUAUGUAAAGCUAAUUGAGCUGGA